This 930-nucleotide unclassified non-coding RNA is filed under the name Hevea brasiliensis (rubber tree). Lineage: Eukaryota; Viridiplantae; Streptophyta; Magnoliopsida; Malpighiales; Euphorbiaceae. The record is from RNAcentral.
AAAACUGCAAUCUAAUUAUGUCCUAAUAAUGAGUAUGUUGAAUUGAUUACAUUUGUUGUUCUUUUCCUAAUACUCGAUGCAAUACGAAACUUACAGUGACUGAAAGCUCGACACAUUCACUUCUCUAGUGGCUAACCAUUAUCUGGGCCUUGGCCUUAUUUGAAUAACAUCUUUUUACAUUUCAUACUACGACAUCAUCUUUCUUUAUGCACUACCUACCUUGGAUAAAAUUCAGUAGCUGACAAAAAGGGUGGUGCAACGUUCAUGAGUUGAUCCCACUGCAACUCAUUUGUCAAUUUAUUCUGCUCGCUUCCACCAUCAAAGAGAAAUCCUGGCCGUUUAGGCAAUGGUCGAGUAACAGAGUGACUGCUAAGCAUAAGAACAAUUGUUGCCAUUGCAGGUCUAUGAGCUGGAUCUUGCUGGAUACAUAGUAAGCCUAUAUGAAUACAUUUUGUUACUUCAUUUAUUGAACAAGAACCUCUCAGAGUUGGAUCCAACACUUCACAUGCCACCCCAAGACUCCAUUUGUUCCAAACAUAGCUCACGAGGUCGCCAGGGAAUGAACUUCUCUUCUUUCCAGUUACUAUCUCAAAAAUUAAGAUACCAAAACUAUAUGCAUCAGACUUUGUCGAGAACUGUCCAUGCAUUAUGUAUUCUGGAGACAUGUAACCAUAUGUCCCAAUGAUUCUGUUUGUGUUUGCAUGAGUUUGAUCAACUCCAAAAAUCCUUGCCUGCCCAAAAUCUGAAAUUUUAGGAUUCAUAUCGACAUCUAGCAAAAUAUUGCUUGCUUUCAUAUCACGAUGAAUUAUUCGAAGUCGAGAAUCCUCGUGAAGGUAAAGAAGUCCUCUAGCAAUACCUCCAAUAAUCUUGUAACGCAUCUCCCAAUCCAAAUGUGACCGCUUGAUUGGAUCAAAUAUGAAAUGAUCAAGG